This 397-nucleotide ribosomal RNA is filed under the name uncultured bacterium. RNAcentral describes it as "partial 16S ribosomal RNA". It matches the Rfam family "Bacterial small subunit ribosomal RNA", at positions 523 to 918 of the family's 1533-position model. The record is from RNAcentral.
AUACGUAGGUGGCGAGCGUUGUCCGGAAUGAUUGGGCGUAAAGGGUGCGUAGGCGGCGCGGUAAGUCUGGAGUGAAAGUCCUGCUUUCAAGGUGGGAAUUGCUUUGGAUACUGCCGCGCUUGAGUGCAGGAGAGGUUAUCGGAAUUCCCGGUGUAGCGGUGAAAUGCGUAGAGAUCGGGAGGAACACCAGUGGCGAAGGCGGGUAACUGGACUGCAACUGACGCUGAGGCGCGAAAGUGUGGGGAGCAAACAGGAUUAGAUACCCUGGUAGUCCACACUGUAAACGAUGAAUGCUAGGUGUAAGAGGUAUCGACCCCUUUUGUGCCGGAGUCAACACAAUAAGCAUUCCGCCUGGGGAGUACGGCCGCAAGGUUGAAACUCAAAUGAAUUGACGGGG